Non-coding RNA from Podarcis lilfordi (Lilford's wall lizard), 94 nucleotides. The record is from the annotation of a GenBank genome assembly. NCBI's taxonomy places the organism in Eukaryota, Metazoa, Chordata, Lepidosauria, Squamata, Lacertidae.
GGCUCUGUGGCGCAAUGGAUAGCGCAUUGGACUUCUAGACUAAUGACUGGGUGAAGUCAUUCAAAGGUUGUGGGUUCGAGUCCCACCAGAGUCG